This 213-nucleotide non-coding RNA is filed under the name Streptococcus macacae. RNAcentral's name for it is "FMN sequence". It matches the Rfam family "FMN riboswitch aptamer (RFN element)". From Rfam's summary of the family: The RFN element is a highly conserved domain that is found frequently in the 5'-untranslated regions of prokaryotic mRNAs that encode for flavin mononucleotide (FMN) biosynthesis and transport proteins. This element is a metabolite-dependent riboswitch that directly binds FMN in the absence of proteins. The record is from RNAcentral. Lineage: Bacteria; Bacillati; Bacillota; Bacilli; Lactobacillales; Streptococcaceae.
AAAAGUCUUCAGGGCAGGGUGCAAUUCCCGACCGGCGGUGACUGUAUUUUUUUCUUUGUUUCAGCUAAGCAUAUGCUGUAGCUAAGACCAUGACCCAAGUGGAAAUGGCGCUGAUAUGCUGAUAUAUAGAAGGAUCUAUAGAAGUCCGCGAGCGUAAGCUGAUGUAGUGCAAUUCUACAACCGACAGUAAAGUCUGGAUGGGAGAAGACGAAG